GUUCACAAAAGCGAUAAGCAUAAGAAAGGAAAAAGGAAAAUAUGGCUCUUAAGUAUUAACCAAGCAAAGUGGAGGAAAAGCACCAAUGUAGAUAACCCCCAACUAGGUUAAGAUAAAGGCUGAGUUAUUUUGAGGGAUUAAUUCAUGCAAACAAUCACAAAAAGAAAGGACAUUAACAAUUUCACCUUACAGUAAAAGUAUGGAACAGCAUUUCACCUAUCAAUCAGCCUUCCACUUACCGACUCUUGCCUAGUGACCCAAG
Molecule: unclassified non-coding RNA, 262 nt
Filed under: Hevea brasiliensis (rubber tree)
Lineage: Eukaryota; Viridiplantae; Streptophyta; Magnoliopsida; Malpighiales; Euphorbiaceae
Source: RNAcentral